RNAcentral lists this long non-coding RNA (677 nucleotides) under Eutrema salsugineum. RNAcentral describes it as "long non-coding RNA (ESAL_LNC000766)". Lineage: Eukaryota; Viridiplantae; Streptophyta; Magnoliopsida; Brassicales; Brassicaceae. The record is from RNAcentral.
UUGCAAUCCUAAAUUCCCAAGAUGCGGGCAUAAAGAAGAGACAAUCAAUCAUGUCCUCUUCAAAUGCCCCUUUGCUAGAAUAACAUGGCCCUGUCCCCUGAAGCUCUUCUCUUUUACCCUGAGCCAACUGAAUCCUUGUUUGAAAAUCUGGCUGUAUGUUUAUUCUCACGUGAAAGAAAUUCAGACAAAAAUUGAUCCCUGCAAAAUUUGGCCUUGGCUCAUUUGGAGAAUAUGGAAAGCAUGCAAUGACUUCUGAUUCUCUGGUUUUUAAAAGAUGAUCUCGAAUCAGUUUUUGAGAAGAAAGGCAUUGAUGCACAAAAUGGUAUGAUUACAACAAGAUUUACCCCAGACUUCACUCUGUCUUGGAUGCAAAAGCAUCAGCCCUCACAUGGGCCAAGGCUUAGGUUUACAACCGGCUUUGAACAUGUUGUCUUUGAGAGAGCUUUCCAGACAUUAAUACAAGAUAUCAGGGACCUUCACCUUUGGCCGACACUCAAGCAGGGAUAUACAAGCGAAAUAUUAGGAAUAAGGAGAGGAAGACUGAAGUCGAGAUUUAGUUUUACUAGAAGGGAAGGAAAUGAAUAUGCUGAUUUGAUCGCAGAACAAGCAGAACAAGCAUCUUCUUACCCACUUUAUUUUGUUUUUCUUAGAUAAUUGUACCUCCAAUUGGUUUAUAC